This 67-nucleotide non-coding RNA is filed under the name Altibacter lentus. RNAcentral's name for it is "S15-Flavobacteria ribosomal protein leader". It matches the Rfam family "S15-Flavobacteria ribosomal protein leader". The record is from RNAcentral. Lineage: Bacteria; Pseudomonadati; Bacteroidota; Flavobacteriia; Flavobacteriales; Flavobacteriaceae.
UACUUUUGCCGCUCGAUUACCAAAGCGGUCGUCGGUACAUAAAAAUCAUUUAAAUAAUAUUGGCAUG